Molecule: ribosomal RNA, 519 nt
Filed under: uncultured bacterium
Lineage: Bacteria
Description: bacterial SSU rRNA
Rfam family: Bacterial small subunit ribosomal RNA
Source: RNAcentral
AGCAGGACGCGACGGGAGGAGCGCCUGCGAACAAGAAGUGCGAACACCAAUAAGGGGAGAGAGAACAUUCAGUGUGAACAUUAGUAGUGGCGGACGGGUGAGUAACGCGUGGGCAACCUACCAUAAGAGGGGAUAACAGCUGGAAACGGCUGCUAAUACCGCAUAAGCUAGCGGGGACGCAUGUUUCUGUUAGUAAAGAUGGCCUCUUAACAAUGCUAUCGCUUAUGGAUGGGCCCGCGUCUGAUUAGCUAGUUGGUGGGGUAACGGCCUACCAAGGCGACGAUCAGUAGCCGGCCUGAGAGGGUGGACGGCCACACUGGGACUGAGACACGGCCCAGACUCCUACGGGAGGCAGCAGUGGGGAAUAUUGCGCAAUGGGGGGAACCCUGACGCAGCGACGCCGCGUGAGCGAAGAAGGCCUUAGGGUUGUAAAGCUCUGUUUUAAGGGACGAAAGCCUGGAGCAAUAACACGGCUUUAGGAUGACGGUACCUUAAGAGGAAGCCCCGGCUAACUACGUG